AUAUUUAAUUUAGUAACUUUUGUAUUUAAUAAAAUUUCAAUCAUACACAUUCAAUUUUACAAUAUAUUUUAAUUAUAUAUUUCAUCAUAAUAAGCUAUCUUGUUAUUCUAUACACUCCAUCUUUCUUUUUUGAUAAUGUGUAUGGAACAAAAGCCACCUAUGAUUUAUUCAUAACAGAAAAGUACACUCGAACACUUUUUUAAAACAACAUCCCAUGUGUAUCCUUUAACAAUGUCGAACUUGCAACUAUCGGCCUAACAUCAAAUAAUUGCAGAGUAAGCGGUAACUAAAAUGCAUAGUUUGCUAAUCCAUUCAGUAUGCGAUUAGUUUUUCUAUACACAUGAGUAAUCUGAACUAUCUGGUCCUUAUACACUCCAUCUUAUUAACGAUAUUUGAAGUUUAAAUAGUAAGUCACAUACUUUUUUAUUAUUUAAUUUAGUAUUUCCUUAAACCAAAUUUCAAUCUUACAAAUUCGAUUUACAAUACAAUUUAAAUAUCUACUUUA
Molecule: small RNA, 505 nt
Filed under: Arabidopsis thaliana (thale cress)
Lineage: Eukaryota; Viridiplantae; Streptophyta; Magnoliopsida; Brassicales; Brassicaceae
Description: ATSL138210
Source: RNAcentral